CUCGUCUAUGACCAUCUUUCUAUACUUCAAAGAAGUAUAAAUGAUCACCUUGUCUAAGUCCCUUCUAUACUUCAAACCGUAUACUAACUGCUUUCUAUGACAUAGUAUGAGAUUAGUAAAGAUAUGACUCCUGCACCUAACUCAAUUCCAAAAGCUAGAUUAUCGGGGAGGGAAUUAUCCAAGUCUACAUAAGCAAACUGUUAGAUCUUCAAUUAAAGUGGGACUUUCACCCAUUCUAAUACCCCCUUCACGCUCAAGGCUCAAUUCGACCGUGGACCGGGAGCACAAACGAGGAUGGAUUUGACUCUGAUAUCAUAUAUGAUAUGACAGUUGGCCUAACUCAACCCCAAAGCUAGCUCGGAGGUGGGAUUGUUCAAAUCCACAUAAGCAAACCUCAAUCCAUUCUCCAACCAAUGUGAGACUUUCACCCACUCUACCAAGAUUGAUAUAAUGCAAGUUAUGAUUUAUUACAAAUUUGUUCACGAAAUUCAUACAUAUAAGAACUUAUUCUAGAAAUGUCCUACAACAACAAUAAUGACAGUACUCAGUAAAUUUCAUAAGCAGGAUUUAGGGAGUGUAGAGUGUAUGUUGAUCUUACCACUACUUCUUAGCUCGGAGGUAGACAAGUUGUUUUUGAAGGAUCCUGGCUCAAGUAUACUAGAUCGGAUUUAAAAAAAAACAGUAAAAAAAUAUAUCAAUUAAUAAGUAAAGCAAUGCAAAACCUAUAAAAAAGGAACACUAAUAACUUGUUAAAGAUGAUAGAAUACUUACUUUGUUAAAGAUGAUAGAAUACUUCUUUAAAAUAACAAGAAAAUGAAACGGUAUGCAUACAUUUUUUUUUUUAACACAAUAUCAAAUAUAUCAUACAACAGAACAUUUCAUGACCAUGACCAACCAUCCAUAGGAACUAUUCAAUGGUUUUAUUCAUACAAGCAAAAGUUCUAAAUAAAGUAGCAAGAUUAUUAUGUUCUUGCUACUUCCAUUACAAAGGAUUACAUUAAUAAUACAUAAUUAAGCACUAAUUAAUUAGUUCUGUGGCUCAGAUUCAGUGGCUAUUCCCAAGGCCAUGUAUUCUUCAUAGGUGCAGCAUUUGUGAUAUUUGCAUUUAUGGUAACAUCCUUUAUGAUAGCCACCCUUUUUAUAGCCACCUCCGCCAUAGUAAUGGUCAACAUCUACUUCUUUUUCCGCUGCAUCGAUGAAUUGAGAAUAUUAAAACUAGUGAAUAUGCAUUGACUGAUCUUUGAAUUGAAAUUUCUUUUACUAUACAUAUAUUUAUAUAAAUUUUUUUGUUUUAAUCUGAUAUGUUUAAGUUCGCAAGAUUCAAAGGAUAUUUUAAUAUGUUCUACACACAUUUAUAUAAAUUGGUUCUUUUUUUUUUUUUUUUCUUUGGAAUGAAUUCAAUUACAUAAAGAGAAUGAAAGAUGGUACUUACAGUUGGGAGUCUCAGUCAAGUUGGGAGUCUCAGAUUCAGUGGCUAUUCCCAAGGCCAUGUAUUCUUCAUAGGUGCAGCAUUUGUGAUAUUUGCAUUUAUGGUAACAUCCUCCUUUAUGAUAGCCACCCUUUUUAUAGCCACCGCCGCCAUAGUAAUGGUCAACGUCUACUUCUUUCUCCGCUGCAUCGAUGAAUUGAGAAUAUUAAAACUAAUGAAUAUACACUGUCUAAUCUUUGAAUUGAAAUUUCUCUUACUAUACAUAUAUCUAUAUAAAUUUUUAGUUUCAAUAUAAUAUAUUUAAGUUCGCAUGAUUCAAAGGAUAUUUUAAUAUGUUCUACACACCUUUAGUUUAGUUUAUAAGGAUUGAAAAGUUUAUGCUAUAUUCUUCAAAUUCAUGCAUAGCGAGUGAGACAUAAAAUGAAGCAUAAGGAAGGUAUAUCAAGUGUCAUGAUCAAGCUAGUGUUAGUAAAACAUUAGCUUAUCGUCUAACAUUCAUAAAACCUUACAAAUUUUAAUUCAUGGUCUAAUUUUAUAUGCUGGACAUAUCUUUAAUAUGUUACUUUUUUUUUUAUUUAAAGUUAAUUACCCAGAGAUUCGAUGGAAAGAGCAAUAAAAACGCAUAAAGUAAUGCGUAAAGAUAUGCUAAUAUGCCUACAUAGUAACAUCAAUAGUUUUUUUUUUUUUUCUUCGAAUGAAUUCAAUUACAUAAUGAAAGAUAUACUUACUGUUGGGAGUCUCACUCAACUCCCUAGCUACUACUUCGGAGCUUAUCAUUAAGAAAAUAGCCAAAAAUAGGCCUAGCAAUAGAAAUGUUUUGGAACCCAUUCUUUUUUUAUUCCAAAGCUUAGUACUUAUAAUAACUCAAAAUUGAGGGAUGAAGAAACUGAUACAUUCUUGGGCUCUAUUUAUAGGAAGAUUUAUGUGCAUAAAUAAUUGAAGAGAGAUGUAAAACUAGGAGGGGGAGGGACAUGUAUUGGGAUGCAAUUAUUGUUGUGGACCAAAGAAACUUAACAACUUGGUCUACAAGUGAGUUAAAAGAGAUUGUUGAAUUAACUUACUCAAAUUUUUUUUUAAAGUGACAACUCUAACAAGUUUUGUUGUUACUAUAGUAAAGUUGUAAGUAUAUUCUUAAUCUUAAUCAAAUAUUUUAAACUUGAGUUUUGCAUAUGAAGAUCAUUUGUUGACAGUGUUUUAUCAUCUGAAACUUUUUGGUGUGUAUUCCAAAUUUAAUUUAGAUCUAAUACAAAUAUAGUGAUAUAUGAAUACUAGACAUCGAAUGAAACAUAAAAUAAAGUAAAAAAACAAGUCAUCUACAAAGUGUAGGCGUUGCAAGAAAAGUUUUCACAAUGUUCCAACUAAGAAAAUAAAACAAAAAAGAAAAUGAAGAACCUAACGGAUAUUGUGAGUGAUUUUGUUGAAUAUUUUGUCAAUUUGAAUUAUGACAAACGCUUUAUUAGUCACGCAAAUAUUAUGACUUAAUAAGGGUGUGUUUUGCAUGAAGAAAAAUGUUUUUUCAUGAAAUACAUUUUCAUAGAAAAUAUUUUCUCGAAAUAUAAGUGAUUUUUUUAGUUAAUUUUUGAUAAGUAAGUAAAACUGUAAAAGAAUAUUAUAAUAUUAAGAACAUUUAAAUAAAUCUCGCAAUAAGAGGGUUGGAGAAUGAGGGUGAACGGGUAAAAUACUCAAGGGUUGUAGGUGUUGGAAAGCAAAAUUGAAGUAGAUAAAUUUAAUAUUUAAGUUUUAAAAUAUGAAUGUUUGAAAACUCUGUAAAAAUGCUAUAAGCUACUCUCUUCGUUUUAAAUUACUUAACCUCUUUGUACUUGACCCACCCUUUAAGACGCAAAACGAUUGAAGGUGUAUUUUUACCCUUAUAUCCUAAUAUUUAAGCAAUGAUUAUGGAGCAGAAGCCAAAAAUCAAUUUAUUUGAAAAAUUAGAUUUAUUAAACAAAAAUGACUAUGGAGUAGUACUAAAAGGGAGCAAGGAUCGUUUACAUUUAAAUGACUUUGGAAUUAAAUAAUUCUAUUUUUAAAAUUUUUAGAAAGUAUAAUGCUUAAUAGGGAUGAAAGUGAAAAAAGAAAUCUAAAAUAAUCUCAAUUUUAUAAACAUGAUAAGUAAUUUAAAAUAAAUAAAUAUAAAAAAUAGGCCAAAAAAUUUAAAAGAGAAAGAAUAUAAUAAUAUUAAUAUAAUAGAAAAAAUGCAUCUUAAGUUGUUAGUAAUUCAUCUGCAAUGAAACACCGUUAAAGUAGAUUUGGGUUGGUGGCCCAGAAAUUAAUGCACGUAGAAAAUUUCAAAGUCUUACUUAUCAACAGAGGCGGACGUAGAGUAGAAGCAAAAAUCCAUAUCUGUUAUUGUAAGACUUAAAAUUAUAUAGAGAAAUCGUUAAAAGUUAUAAAUAUUAAUAGGUAAGAACCAUAACUAAACCAAAGGAUAGCUUAGUGGCAAGAAAAGAGCCCUUAAAAAUCCACAAAUUCAAAAUUUUGAAUCCGCCUAUGCUUAUCAAUUGACUUAUCAAAGGCUCUUCCAUCUUGCUCUGCUGCCACAUCACUUAAUCUUCUCCAAAAAAAUAUUUUUCAUGAAAAAUAAUAUAAUUCCACCCAAUGACAAAUAUUAUUGGCAUAUAUAAGGUGUGUUCGUUAUGAUACUUUUUAAAAAAUAAUUUUUUAAAAUAAAACUAGAAAAAACAAAUUUUACUAACAAAACUUAUCUUCACCAACCCAUCCCCAUUCCCCAUCAAUCCAUAUUCCAUACCCCCACCGUCAUCUAGCACAUGGAUGGCACCACCUUCUUCUUAGGCGAAAGGUGGCUCAGUGCAUACUAUUUAUCAAAAAAUAAUGUGUUCUACUAAAAUUAAAGAUUAGUUAUUAUGAAUAUUUAUUUAAUUUUACAUAAUUAAAAAAGAUUUACACACACUUCAUUAAUAUAAUAUCCCUUGACUUACCUAUCGAACUCAAUAAAAUAAGUACCUACAUAUUUCUUUGAGAUCUAAUACAUCCAAUGUCAUAAUUCAUUCAAUAUUAAUAUAUAAUUAGAUAUAUAUUUUCGUAUUUAUUUUUAAAAAUUUGCCCAACUUGUAAGUUGUAGGACUACCUUAUCCUAAAAUAUCUAGAAGUAGUGGUGCAUACAUACUCUUUGAUAUAGUCAAUAUUUAGAGAAUUAAAUGACGAAUUCAAUGACUCUUUUAGUGUACGAUCAAGUUUAAAUAAGAGGGGACAAAUCUCUUCGAUUUGAUUAAAACUGGAGAAAAGUCUUCCAGAAAAGACCCAACAAUACAACAAUAAAAAUUCUUAUUUGUUUGGCCUAAUGCAUGGUAGAGUCAGAAUUUCUAGUAAAUGGAUUUUAAAAAUAAUUAACCAUGUUAAUAGGACUUUAAAAAUAAAUAGAUCAAAUUUGAUUUGAGUAAGUUAGACAAAGUUUCAACUUUACCUCAACAUGAAUAACAAAAUAUAGAAAGUUAAACUUUUUUAUUUUGAUCAUGCGGUCAAACAUACAAUCUUUAAAUUUUUUUUUAAAAUAAAUUACAUAUUUAGAAAUUACAUAAAAAGUAUAAUAAAUUACCAGAAUUGAAUUUUACGUUUAAGUUGUUUAUACAUUAACAUAAUAAACUAAUACUAAUUUUCUCUUAAUUUUAAGAAGAGAAGAUCUAAAAUAUUUUAAAUCAGUCAAAAUAGAUAAACAACAAACAAAAGUAUAAUUUUGUGAAAAAAAAAAAGUUAACCAUCAAAUUAAUAACCUGAAAAGUGAGAGAUAAGAGAAAUCAAAAGAGGGACAGAAUGUAAGAGAACAAGAAAGUAAUUAAGUAACUAGAAAUUUAAUCCCAAAGCUAAUAUAGAAGAUACAAAAAAAUGAUGUUAUUCAGACUCGAAUGCACGCUGAAUCAGAAAUUUUGCACCCUUCACCAUUGAACUAAGCUUUAGCCUUCUUUUCGAUGGUGGAAGGACCACGCUAGUCCUUUGAGUGUGUGGUGUGUAGUGGGUGCGUCUUAGUGUCUUCUUACUACGUGUCAAUGGGAUUCGGUGCUUAACAUAUAUACAAUAAAUCAAAAUUUUGAUUGUAUAUACACAGUGUAAUUUUUUGAAGAAGGGGGGUCGAUGAACCCCUGGACUCCAUGUAGAUCCGACAUUGCCUAAUAGAGUUUAUAUAUGUGUGUAUGUAUAUAUAUACACACACACUCAUAUACACACAUAUAUAUAUAUUGAUGGCAUAAAAUAUUCGUAUAUUAUUUAUUCAUCUUUAAAAUGUUUAUAAUUACUUUUUAGUAUUUAUGUUUUAGAGGAUGCACAGAAGACACAUAAAAUUUCAUAUUUUUAACACAAGUAUCUUAAUUCCUAAGUUGAUGAGGAAAAAAAAAAUGAGCAAGACAUAAGUCAACAGAGAUAUAUUUAGACUUAGAGGUCGUUUAAUAGAGUGUAUUAAAAUGUUAAUGCAUACAUUGGUUUAAUGUCUAUUAGUAGUACCUUGUUUGGUAUACCUUUUUAUCCUAUGUAUAACUAAUGCAAACAUUAGUUAUACACUCUAUUGUGUAUUAAGGUGUAUAUUACUAAUAACUCAAAAUUCAUGCAUUAACAUACUUAAAGACUCAAUUAUCCCUCAAAAAUUUUUUUGCAUCUUUUCCAACAUAUAUAUUGAGGGUAUUAUGUAAAAAAAAAAUUUUUUUUUAGAAAUUAUGUAAUUCAUGUUUUUUUAAUACAUCGAAGCAAACACUAUAUAAGAAAAAUAUAAAUAUAACUAAUACAAAUAUUAUUAAUACUAGCAUUACUAAUAUAUUAUAUUUUGUAUUAUUGUUAUACAUUUUACCAAACGAUCUCAUAGUGAUGGAGAGAGAAAUACUGUUUUGGAUCUUAUUGCUCCACGAUAUGAGAGAAUUUUCUAAAAGCUGACAUGAGCCACUAGUGCUUUUUUCUGCAUAAUACACAUAUAUUCUCACAUGCAAGUGUACAAGUAGGACCCAUAAGAGUGCAAGAGGAUUUAGCAUUCUUCAUACCAAACUUCUCAAGGAGCUCUUUGGUAUAUUUAUUUUGGCAAAGAAAGGUCCCCUCAGAUGACAGAUGUAUUUGCCAACUCAAAAUGAAUGUUGAUUUUUCUAUUAGAAUUUCCUUGCAUUAGAACAAAAUUUUUUUGCAUAAGACAAUAUUAUUACUUCCAAAGAUAACAUCAUAGAUCUGAAUAAUUAAGUUUUCAGAGGAAAUUCUUAUGAUAAAAGGAGUUGUAUUAAUUUCUUUUUUUAAAAAAAUAAAAUUGCGAUAAAGAAAUUGAUCUAUUUAUCAUAUCAAGCUCGAGAAGCUUGUUUUUAAAUCACAGAGAAUUUUUUGAAAGUUUAAAAACAUGAUUGGAAACCUAUGAUUUUCAAAACCUGAGGUUUUUACAAAAACUUAAUAAACCCAUUUAAAAACAUCCAUUUAAACAAGAUUUGAAUAGAUUCUAACCUUGUAACUGUUGCAAAAGUUUUAUCAUAAUUGUCUCCCUCUUGUUGUGAGUAGCCUUGAGCUAUUAGACAAACUUUUUUCUCCCAUAACUUUAUCUGAUUCAUUCAUCUCAUUUGGUUAUAAUGAUUAAGGCAUUCUCUAGUCCACACAUUAUUUUUAUCAAUUUGCUCGAGCUCUUUUUUCAUUGUUUUGACCCAAUAAUCAUCUUUUGAAGUCGCAUUCACUUUCAUUAGAUCAAGUUGAGAUAUGAAGGCAAUAUUUGCAUGUCUUUAACUGGAAUCUCUUAUAAGCCAUUAUUUUGAUCAUCUUAAUUAAGUGAUCGAUCAUGUUCACUUUGGAAUUGCUCCAAGUUCAAUUUGAUGCUUUAGAGGCAGCAGUUAAGCAGACAAUAAACUUAGUAGUAGAGUCAACAACAUUUCCCCCCUAUUAUUAUGAACAAAGCAUUUGUAUGAAAGUGCACAAUGUUGGGCCUUUGGUUGUUUCAAAUUUUGUAAAGAGUUUUCUUAAAUAAAUCUGCUGAGGCAUUUAUUGCUUUGCCAUUGGAGCUAUCUGUAAAACAUACUUCAAAAUCAUUUUCUUCUUCAAAUAAGCUUUGUACCCUGUGAAUUGAAUUUCCACUUUCAAGCUUCCAUUUCCUAUUAGCUUUUGAGUGGAGUUCCUGCAAAAUAAUUAUAUUACUUAUUUCUAUGUACCCAAGUGUUCUUAGGUAUCCCAUGGUUAGUUAAAUGUGUUGACUCAAUUUUGAGUCUCCAAAUUCAUUUGCUAGAAUUUCUAGAUCGAAAUCUGCAAUUAUAGUAUUUGUAAUUCGGUUUACCACGGUGAUAAUAAGAAGUAAGUAUUGUUCAGUGACUGCAUAAUAGGUAUUAUAAUUGUGAGUAGUUCUUUUAAUCGAUCGACUCGAGUUUAUUGACCGUUGAGAUCCUUCAUAGCUAUAGAAUCUACUAUUACAAGUUCCAGUGUCACAUUUGUCAGUUGACUGCGUCAACUGAAUUGAUCUGACAAUACUAUGACUUGUAGAUUUCGAAAGUCAUUAAUUUUAAUUUUUAAAUCAUCAACUUCUUAAUAUAAAUAAUUUUUUUCGAUUUCAUAAACUUCAAGUUUAAGUUUUCAGUCUCUUCUCUCUCUUAAUAAAGCCCUUUUUCUCAUCAUGGGCUUUAUUUCGAUCCGCGCUGGCAAGAUCUAACAGAUUUUACAGUUUAGAACAUUCAUUAUAGGAAUUGGUUCUUACCUAACUAGACUUUUCAAUUUUCAUGAAAUAACAGUCUCCAAUACUAUUGUUAUCAUGGUCGACUUGUUCUUUAUCAUCUUAGCCUUUUGAUUUUUUUUUUUUUCAUGGACUCUACAUGAAUAGAUUUCAAUUUGUUUCAUAUUUCUUUAGUUGUUUACAGGUGGAUAUUUUCUCACAUUCUUUUCCACUAAGAGCACAACGAAGCAAGUAGAUUGCCCUAACAUUUGUUUGCACAAUAUCCAAAUGUUCUUUUGUGUAGUCAAAUGUGACGGUCUUUUUUUCAAAUUUCUUUUCAUUAUUUUUCAAAAUCUGCCUUGGCCCAUUUUGAAUAACUAGUCAUGCUUUAUAAUUUGUUGAUUGAACGUAAGUGUUCAUUUUUGUGUUUCACUGACUAUAGUAUAGACUGUUAAGGAAGGUUGAUUGGCUUAUUGAAAGUCCCUCUUGAAAUAUGACUUCAGUAAUUUGAUAUUCUGCCAUGAAUCUGUAUUCAUUUUUUGUUAAGCAAAAACGGAGAUGUGAGACGAGGCUUUGAUAUCAAUUGAAAGUAGUAAGACGAGGAAAGGGGUGAAUUACUCUUGUUUUGACCAAACAAUCGACUUCAUUCAACAAUUAGUCGACUAUUGAUUGUAGUAAUAAAGUGUUCAGGAAAUAAGGAGCUGAAGAUAAAAUUAAACUAGAUAUUUGAUACUAAUUGAGACCUCUAAUUGGGUUUUACUUCAAUCUCCUUGGAUUGCAAGGGAUUCUACUAGUUCUUUAUGAAUAAAAUCAAAGUACAAGAUUGAGUCAAGUUUUUUGACUUUGACUCACCCUCUCUUCUUUUCUUUCAUACUUCGAUACAAUGUCUCAUCAAAUAUGUGUUUCUCUCCUCGAUCUCUUUUUAAGUACACAGUAAACGUUUAAGAGAAUACAUUGCUUGAGUAAAGUAGAGCAAAGAACUAGAAAAAAUUGAGACAAGUGUAUAUCUCUUUCUUAGUUUUUCAUUGCUUAAAUAGUACUGAUUAGACUACUACUAAUCAUUGAAAAAUAUGAGGCAACCCAAGAAUUUUUUUCCUUGAAAAUAAGAUAAAAAAAUCUUAUUUUCAAGAAUAGAAUGAAUCAUAUUAAUGAUUCCAAACUAUCCAUAAUAUUAUUUCAUAGAACUAGUCACACGCUUAAUGAAAUAUCAUGUUGUGGUACUUCUUUUCAUAGUGAUGCGGAUUUGUGAUUACCCUUGAAAGAGGAUACAUGUUUCUUUUCCCUUUUUAAAUUGAUUCUUUGAAAAAAAAAUUAUUUGCAGCCAAUUUUCCUUUUUAAUUGUAGUGAAGAAUAUUUGAUACUAUUUUCAGAGAUCGGGCUUUCUGAUUUGUAGCCACUUUUUCUUUUUAUUGUACCCAAGAAUCUUUGACAUCAAUAUACCUGCAGAGGAAGUCAUAUAUUAAAACAUCAGAUUAUCACAAAUCUCCGAUACCCAACAUAUUAUUUCUAUAAUAUGAAUUUUCUUCUUGGGUACAAAAUUUUAGAACAAAAAUGUCUGAACAGAUCGAGCAACAAUGAAAUUAGCUAUCCUCAUUGUUAAUUUAAAGCUAAAUUACUUGUAAUUAAUUAACAAACUUUUCAAUGAUUUAUUGCUAAUCCUUAGUCAAGUAAGAUUAACAAUAAUGCAUUAGCGAAGAAUCUUGUUAUUUUGCUAUAAAUUAAUUUGUCCAUCUUUAUUUUCUAGUAAUGAUAUUCUAAUUUUAAUGUUGUCCAAUUUGUAAUCAUUCCCCCUAAUUAUCUUCUCUAUCAAUCGACGAUAUUGUUGCAACUGAACAAUUGAAACCAUUAAAACUCAAUGAGACACCAAUAUAUGCUUGGACGGAUGAUCACCUUGUCUAUGUCCUAUUUACACUUCAAAGAAAUAUAAUUAAUCACCUUGGGUGUGUUUGGUACGAAGGAAAACAUUUUCCAGAAAAUGUUUUCCAAUUUUGUUGUGUUUCGUUGGCUUAUAUGUUUUGAAAAAUAUUUUUCAAACCAACUUAUUGUUCUUAAAUCUAAGGAAAAUGACUUCCUUCAAAGAGUAAGGAAAACAUUUUCCAAAACUCUCAUUCAAUCUCACUUUAAAGUUGAAAUAUUCGUACAAUUCUCAAAAUCAUCUAACUCGCCCCCUUGCCUCUCCCCCAAUACCCUAUCACCCCGACACUACCCCUACCCCCACCCCCAAAAUUUCAUUAUUUUAAAAAGUAUUUCAAAAUUUUUUCUUAAUCCAUCCCUUACCUCCACCCCACCCCUCUUCCAAAAAACAAUAUCUACAUUUUACUAAAAAAUUCAAACUUUUCUCUUAUCCCCCUUCCCUCCCCCCACCAGCCUCUCUCCCAUCCCUCCAUCCCAUAACCUAAAGAAAAAAAUUAAAUUUAUUUUUAAAAAAAUUUCAAUUUUUUUCCUCCCCCUUCCCCCUUCCCCCUCACUCCCCUAUCCUGACCCCUAGCUCCAGGGACGGACCCACGUGUAAUUUUGGAGUGCUUCGACACCCACUAAAUUCGACGUAGAUUAGGUAUAAUUAUAUAAAAAAUACAGAAUAAAUGGUAUAAUUUAUUAAAAAGCACCCAGAGAACAAACAUAUGGUUAGGUGUUCCCCCUCCCCCUCCCCCUAAAUUCAAUUUUUUUUCUUAUCCCGCCCCUACUACCUAUUCUGACACCCCCACCCACUCACCAACCAAUCCCCUUCCCAAAAAAAGAUUUAAUUUUUUUAUUUUUUAUUUAAAAAGGAUUCUAAAAUGUAUUUUUACGCUUUAUCUAAACACUAAUAUGUAUUUUUUGAAAAAUAUUUUUUCAUUCACCAACCAAAUAUUAGAAAUUCUCCAACCAAACAUGAAAAAUAAGUAAGAAAUUAACUUGUUUUCCAAGAAAAUAUUUUCUAGAAAAACAUUUUCAAUGGAAAACAUUUUCCUUCGUACCAAACACACCCAAGUCUAAGUCCAUUCUAUACUUCAAAGCAUAUAUACUAAUUGCUUCCUAUGACAUAGUAUGAGAUUUGUAAAGACCUGACACCUGGAUUUAAUUUAAUCCUAUGAACACACCCAAGUCUAAGUCCAUUCUAUACUUCAAAGCAUAUAUACUAAUUGCUUCCUAUGACAUAGUAUGAGAUUUGUAAAGACCUGACACCUGGAUUUAAUUUAAUCCCAAAAGUUAGAUAAUGUGAGAGGAUUGUCUAAAUUCAUAUAAGCAAACCUUCAAUCCAUUUUUCAUUUAACGUGGGACUUUUACUCACUCAAACAUUCUUUUCAUGCCUAGGGCCCAACUGACACGUAGAUUGGGAGACCAAACUAGGAUGAACUUCACUCUGAUACCAUAUAAAAAUAUGACACCUGCACCUAACUCAACCACAAAGCUAGCUCAUGGGAAGAGGAUUGUCCAAAUCCAUAUGUGUUGGGUUCGAAAUCGAGAGGGCGUCAUGCGGAAGCUAUUAGUUGCAAACUAUGAGACGAUAAAUAAGAUGACAACGAAAAACAAUACUAAAAACAUAAUUUUAUUAUAUGAUUUGGCCAAUUGGCCUACAUAUAAAACCUAAUAUUAAAAAAUAUAAAACUGAGAAAAUCUCCCCCUAAACGAAAAUCUUAAAAGACUACAUUGUGGAUGCUAUUAUUGUGUUAUGGUAUGAGAAGGGAUUUUCUAUUUAUAGAUAUCCAAAACCUUUCCUCCAAGAAAGAGGCUAGGCAAAUAUGGAAAAGAAUUAUAUUGUUUCCUUUCGAGAAAAGUAAAAGUAAUUAUGGUAACUUUUAUUUUCCUUCUAAGAAAAAGUAAAACUUAAAUAUAGUAAGAAAAUCAGGGCAAAAACCCUAACAAGACUUUCACCCACUUAAUUAACAAGAUUGAUGUAACGACAGUUAUGAUUUAUUUACAAAUUUGUUCUAGAAAUUCAUACGUAUUAGAAUUUAUUCCAGAAAUAUCCCUCGGCAAUAAUAAUAACAUACUUAGAACAUUCCCCCUCACGUGCUGACUUAUUUUUUUGGUCAUGGGUCAAGCACAUGAAAAUUCUUUUUAAUAAUGGGUGGCAGUGAGAUUCGAUUCCAGGACCUCUGCCUGCUCUAAUACCAUGUUGAAGUUUGUAACCAUCUAAUUUAAAAGUUUAAGUUGUUAGAGAGAGCACACUUUUAUUAUUUAAUUAUAUUCUCACCAGAGAAAUUGUUUUUGAAGGACCCUUGGCUCAAGGAUACCAACUCCAAGUAAAAAAAAAAAAUAAUGAGUAAAAAACAUAUCGAUUAAUAAGUAAAGCAAUGCAAAGCCUGCCAAAAAACGAACAAUAACAACAACAUAAUGAAAAGAAAUAUUUAAUAAGUUAAAGAUGAUAUAAUAAAUACUUUAAAAUAAGAUGAAAAUGAAAAGUAAACUUUACGAAAACAUUUUUUUUUUCAACACAAUAUAAUAUAUAUCAUACAACAGAACAUUACAUGACCAUGACCAACCAUCCAUAGGAACUAUUGAAUGGCUUUAUUCAUACAAGCAAAAGUUCUAAAGUUGCAAGAUUUUUAGGGUUUUGCCACUUAUAUUACAAAGGAUUACAUUAAUAAUACAUAAUUAAGCACUAAUUAAUUAGUUCUGAGGCUCAGAUUCAGUGGCUAUUCCCAAGGCCAUAUAUUCCUCAUAGGUGCAGCAAUGGUGAUAUUUGCAUUUAUGGUAACAUCCUUUAUGUUUAUAUCCUCCACCCUUAUAAUAAUGGUCACCUCCAACACCAUCAACGUCUACUUCCUUCGCUGCUGCAUCGAUGAAUUGAGAAUAUUAAAACUUAUGCAUAUCUAUUGAUGACUGAUCUUUGAAUUGAAAUUUCUAUUUAUGUGUUGUACUUUUCAUUUAAUUUUGUUAUAGUUUUAAGAUAAUUUCUAUCAUGACUAUAUAUAUAUGUAAAUAAAUUUUUUGUUUCAAUCUGAUAUGUUUAAGAUCACAAGAUUCAAAGGAUAUUUUAGUAUGUUCUACACACUUUUAGUUUAGUUUGGAUUGAAAAGUUUAUGCUAUAUUCUUCAAAUUCAUGCAUAGUGACUGAGACAUAUAAAAUGAAGCAUAAGGAAGGUAAAUUAAGUGUCAUGAUCAAGCUAGUGUUAGUAAAACAUUAGGUUAUCAUCUAACAUUCAUAAAACCUUACAAAUUUUAGUUCAUGGUCUAAUUUUAUAUGCUGGACGUAUCUUUACUAUGUCACUUUUUUUAUUUAAAUUCAAUUACCCAGAUAUUCGAGGCAAAGAGCGAUGAAAACACAAAGUAAUGCGUAAAGAUAUGCUAAUAUAACACAGUAACAUCAAUUGUUUCUUGUUUUUUUUUUUUUUUCAAUGAAUUCAACUACAUAAAGAGAAAAUGAAAGAUGAUACUUACAGUUGGGAGUCUCAGAUUCAGUGGCUUUUCCCAUGGCCACAUAUUCUUCAUAGGUGCAGCAUUUAUGAUAUUUGCAUUUAUGGUAACAUCCUUUAUGAUAGCCACCCUUUUUAUAGCCACCUUUGCCACCAUAGUAAUGGUCAAGAUCUACUUCUUUCUCCGCUGCAUCGAUGAAUUGAGAAUAGUAAAUCUAAUGCAUAUGCACUGACUGAUCGUUGAAGUGAAAUUUCUCUUAUUAUAAAUUAUGGCUGUCAAGUGGGCCGGGCCAACCUGGCCCUACUCGGCCCACUUAAAUAAAUCAGCCCAGUAAGCCCUAUGGCUUUAGGGUUUCAGGUCCCGGGCCGGUUAUUUUUUUAAUUUGGGCCUGGUUAACCCGACUCGGACCUAGCUCGGUCCAGGCCCGUCGGUUAACCGACCCCGCCCAGCCCGGAGUCUUUUUAUUUUUUUAAAUAAUUAUUUUUUUGUAUAAAUUAGUAUAUAACUAUACAAAUAUAUAUUCUAAUGUGUGUGUGUGUAUAUAUAUAUAUAUAUUAUAAUAUAUUUCAUUUAAUGUAUUACAUAUACAUAGAGUAGAGUGUAUAUAUGUGAAUAGAUCUUCUAUAGAAGUGUAUAUUUAACGUAUACAUGUUUAUAUAUUUUAUAAAUUAGUGUAUAACUAUACAAAUAUAUAUUGUAAUGUAUAUAUAUUGUAGUAUAUCUCAUUUAAAGUAUUACAUAUACAUAGAAUAGAGUGUAUAUAUGUGAAUAGAUCUUCUAUAGACGUAUAUAUUUAACGUAUACAUGUGUAUAUAUAUAUAAUUAUAUAUGUAUAUAUUGUAGUAUAUUUUAUUUAAACUUUAAAGUUUAAAGUAGUACAUAUAUAUUUGGAUGGUGCGUAUAUAUGUGUAAUUGUGUAUAUGUGUAUAUAUUUUUUAAAUUUUAAUGUAGUAUAUACUAUAUAUAUAGUGUAUAUAUAUUGUUUAACGUAUUUGUAAUGUAUAUAGGUGGGUAUAUAUAAUGUAUAUUGAAAUUUUUUUAUUUUUGACCGGGUUUGAUCGAUUUUUUAAUCGGGUUUGACAGGGUUUAGGUGGGUUUGACCGGGUUGGGUUAAGUGGGUCCGGUUAGGGUGGUUUUUGAUUUUUUUACUGUUGGGCCCAGCCCAGACUGGCCCACUUAGACCCCAACCCGGAACGGCCCUCAACCCGGUUAAAUAACAUGGGCCGGUUCCGGGUUGGCCUGACCCGGCCCACUUGACAGCCAUACUAUAAAUAUAUUCAUAUAAAUUUUUAGUUUCAAUCUGGCAUGUUUAAGUUCACAUGAUUCAAAGGAUAUUUUAGCACGUUUUACACACUUUUAGUUUAUAUUCUUCAAAUUCAUGCAUAGUGACUGAGACGUAUAAAAUGAAGCAUAAGGAAGGUAAACUAAAUGUCAUGAUCAAGCUAGUGUUAGUAAAACAUUAGGUUAUCGUCUAACGUUCAUAAAAUCUUACAAAUUUUAGUUCAUGGUCUAAUUUUAUAUGCUGGGCGUAUUUUUAAUAUGUCACUUUUUUUUUUUAUUUAAAGUCAAUUACCCACAGAUUCUAGAGAAAAAGCAAUAAAAAUGCAUAAAGUAAAGCAUAAAGACAUGCUAAUACGCCUAACAUAGUAAAAUAAGUAAUGCCUAAAGAUAUGCUAAUAUGCCUUUCUUUUUUUUUUUUUCUUCGAAUGAAUUCAAUUACAUAAAAAGAUAAAUGAAAGAUAAUACUUACAGUUGGGAGUCUCACUCAACUCCCUAGCUAUUACUUCGGAGCUUAUCAUUAAGAAAAUAGCCAAAAAUAGGCCAAGCAAUAGAAAUGUUUUGGAACCCAUUCUUUUGUUUUUUUCAAAGCUUAGUACUUAUGAUAAUUGAAAAUUGAGGGAUGAAGAAACUGAUACAUUCUUGGGCUCUAUUUAUAGGAAGAUUUAUAUGCAUAAAUAAUUGAAGAGAGGUGUAAAACUAGGAGGUGGGAGGGACAUGUAUUGGGAUGCAAUUAUUGUUGUGGACCAAAGAAACUUAACAACUUGGGUCUACAAGUGAGAGUUAAAGUCUUAAAGAGAAUGCUAGAUUUAACUUAUUCCGUAAUUUUUAAAUAACAGCACUAACAAGUUUAGUUAUUAUGGUAGUGAAGUUGUAACAAUACUAUUUUAAUGAAAUAUUUAAGUUUAUGCUUUGCAUGUGAAGCCUCAUUUGUUAGGCAUUGUUUUAUUCUAUGAAACUUUUUGGCCUGCAUCAAAUUUAAUUUAAAUCUAAUACCAAUAUAUUAUACGCGAAAACUAGACAUCGAGUGGAAAAUAAAAUAAAAUGAAAAAGCAAGUCAUCCAAGCAAAAUGUAGAUGUUGCAAGUAUUUACAAUGUUCCAACAACAAAAAAAAUGAACCUAACGAAUAUUUUGCUGAAUAUUUUGGCAAUUGGAAUGUUGUUCGAUCUCGUGACAGAUUCAGAAUUAUGCCGAAUCCUUUUAUAGCCAAGUAUAUAUUAUGACUUAAUAAAAGUGCAUUUUGUAUGAAGAAAGAUGUUUUUCCAUGAAAUACAUUUUCUUAGAAAAUGUUUGCUUGAAAUAUAAGUGAUUUAUUUUAGGUUAGUUUUUGAUAAAUAAGUGAAGAAUGUUAUAAUCUCAAAAAUAUUUAAAUUUAAUUUCACGAUAAAAUGGGUUGGAGAAUGGGGGCGGAAGGGCUAAAAUACUCAAAAGAUAAAGGGUUGUGGAUGUUGGAAAUCUUCCUUUUGAAAUAAUCGAUCAGUUUUUUUUUUUUCAUUUUCCUAAAUUUCUUAUCUUGUUUUAAAUUAUAUUUUUCGUUCAUUUUUAUUUGUUAAUUGUUAUAGUUCAUUUUAUGAAAGUCAAUCAAAUGAAUUUCAAAGUUAAAUUAAAGUAGAUUAAUUUAUUAUUUUAAAUUAAAUUUAGAUAUUUAAAAAUUAUAUAAAAAUAUAAGUUACUAUAUAAUCCUUCUCAUUAGUAUUAUAUAUAAGAGACAAAUCAAGGAAUUUGGUAGUUCCCACAAAAAUUUUCAAUUAAAUUUCAAUCUUUUCAAUUAAUUACUUUUUUGUCAUGAUCUUAUCUUUGAAAUCAAAUUUACUUUUUGUCUUUAGAGUUUACUUUUAGAAGUUCUUUUACCUGAUCAUUUUGAACGUGUUUUUUAUUUUUCAAUUCUUUAUUUUCUGAAUUUAUAGACAUUCAUUGACAUGAAUUACUAUUCAGAAGCCAUGUUUAAUUCUUUAUGCAUAAAGUGGAUCAUCAUUUUUCUUUUAGAAAAAACCUGACUUAGUAAACAUAAACACCUAAUUAAUUUAUUCAGACUAAGUUUUAAUUAAUUAUAAUUCAUAGUCUAAUUUAACUGUACUGCAUCCUCUCCCUUGCUAAUACUCUCCUUCCAUCUCUCCCAAUCUCGUUGUAUAUCACUAUAUUUGUAUCAAUUAUAUUCGUUUCUUAUAAUCAGCUACAUAUGAUUGUAUUUUUAUAUUUUCUUGAAUUUAUAUUUAUAUGGUCCUAUAUUAUAUAUAGUUUAAUCACAACAUUUGUAUAUAAUAAAAUCAAAGUAUCAGAUUUUUGUUCAUUUUAUAUUUGCUAAUACAAAUACGAUGGAUGACAGUUUAUAUAAAUACAAUAGCUACACCGGCUACGACUUGUAAUUUUUUAAACCAUAGUUAUGCAUGCCUAAUUUUUCCUAUAUAUAUGCUGUUUUGAAAGUUUUCCUUUUUAAAAAAAAUAAAUUCUAUACGAACUUUUGUGAUUGAUUUAUAUAAUAACUGUUUAUGAAUCUCUUUAUACUCUUUAUUGAAUUAUUUUUUAAUUCUUCAUCUCAAAAUAUUUAAUAUUAUUUUUCACUUUUUGAGGAUCAACUUACAUAAAUUUUUAUCAAUAUUUUGAAAUUAUUUUCACUAUAUUAAUGGGAGAAUUGAUAUUUAUAAUACUUUUCAUAUAAUUUUUUAAUAUUUAAAUUUUAAUUUAAAAUAUUAUUUAAUCUAACUCAAUUUAACUUUAAAGAUUAUGCAAAUAUCUUUCAAAAAAACAUGCGGUGAGAUGAAAAAAGUAUAUUAUUUAAUCUUCAUCGAGUUGUAAAUAUUUUACAUGCUUCAAAGUUUAAAUCAUAUUAUUUUAUAAAAUAUUAAAUUACUUGUAUGUCGUUUUAGGAUAAUCCUUUCCCAUUGUUGAACUACCACAUGAAAAAAACUCAUCAAAUUAAGAAGAGUAUAUUAAGAAUCCAUUUACAAUUAAUCUUUUACCCCAAAAGCCAUAUGUUUCCUCAACUAUUAUAUAUACUUCCCCAAGGAAUUUUUCGCAAACAAUACUCCUAACUCACACCCCAAAAGCUAGCUCAUGAAAAAGAGGAUUGCUCAGCUCAAACCUAAUAAGGAGAGCAAGGACCUAUAAUCCCACCGAUGUGGGAUACCAACACACCCUCGGCACGCCCAAGAUUGGACAACUGGAAAAUAGACAAUAUAAAAUGGAGGGUCCAACAUUGGAAACAAAUGAAUUGGGUGGGCCUGGCUCUAAUACCAUGUUAAAAUUAGUCUUGAACCAAACUCACACCCUAAAAGCUAACUCAUGAGGAGAAGAAUUGCCUAUGCCUUAUAAGGUGGCCAAGAACGUUAUAACCCGCCGAUGUGGGACACCACCAAUAAUAAAUAUGUUGAUGUUGUUGUUAGUAGGUUUAAGUAUACUUAAGAGGGAGAGUGUAAAUCAUGAUCAAUUUUUUUUAUUAGAAAGAUCUCAUUACUUAUUUUAAGUGUCAUUAGCGUAAGGGGGAUUAAUUAAUUAAUAUGGUUUAAUUACGUCUCGACUUGUAAAACAAGAAAAAGACUUGUAUGAAACUGAAAAUUUUAAAUAUAUGUGUACAUGAAUUUCUUGUGUCAAAUAAAAUGUAUACUCCCUACGUCCCAAAUUAGCAGCUCCAAAUUGAGAUGACACAUUGAUUAAGAAAAAUAAUUAAUAAAAUGGCUAGUUUACUAUAAUACCCCUAUUAAAUGAUAUUUACAUUUUAAUUUGAAAAAAAAUAAUUACUGCAAAAGGUAAAAUAAGAAAAAAAUUUCUGUUAUUUCUUGAUUAAUGAAAAAAAAAGUAAAAUGAGAAAUUAAAUUAGAAAAUUUGAGACGGAGAAAGUAUUUUAUAUGCAUGAAUUUGUAGUGAGAGGCGCAUUUCUUCUACUAGUAUUAAUAUAAAAACAAAUACUCCUCCUGUUUCAUAUUAUUUGGCUCCUAUGAAUUUGACCCUCUCAUUAAGAAAAUAUUAAUUAAGAGGUUUAUUUUAUCAAAUUAGCUUUACUAAUUAUAUUUUGAAAAUAUAAAUUUGAGUAAAUACACUUUAUUUAGUCAUUUAAUGUUAAGGGUAGUAUUGGAAGAACAUAAUAAAAUUCUUUUGAUUUCAUCAAAGAAACAACUAAAUUAAAAUAAAUAUUUUUUAAAAAAAGGCCAACUAAAAUGAAACGGAAAAAUUAAUAGUAGGAUAUCUUAAAUUAUUAAUCAAACUUUAUUUAAUCCGUAAUCAAACACCGUCAAAAUAGAUUUCAAACCACGUGCAUGGGUUGGUGGCCCAGAAAUUAAUGCAUGUAGAAAAUGUCAAACGGUCACUUAUCAGUUUACUUAUCCAAGACUCUUCCAACUUGCCCUGCUGCCACGCAAAAGAAAAAAAUCAUUAAAAAUAUUAUCCUUCUUACCAAACAGAAAUUGUGGGGAUAUUGAGAAAAAAUGAGUUUUCUAAUAAAAAUAGAAAAUAGAUUGUAUAAAUAGAUUUUCAUAGUACAUAGCUUCUUUUAGUGGCGGAUCCAUGAAAAUCACACUUCAAACCAUUGCAUCUAAUCAUGUGUUUGUUCAUUAGGUGUAUUUUAAUAUUUUAUAUCAUUUAUUCUAUAUUUUUUAUAUAAUUACAUCUAAUCUACGUCUAGUUUAGUGAGCAUUGAAGUAUUCGAAAAAUACACAUGGAUCCGCCCCUGACUUCUUUUCACCUUUUGACAGACCUCAUCUUCACUCUCCGAACUUAACUCCAACCCCCCGCCACCCCCUUUCUCACCAAUCCAUACACUUACCGCACCCACUCCCUCAUCUCACUUAUGGACGAAGCCACCUUAGACAAAGAACAGUUUGGUACACACUAUAUAUUCAUCAAAAAUUUAUUAUGUUCAUAUUCUAAUGAGGUUAAAUGUUAAUUAUUAUGAAUGUACAAUUAAAAAAAACUUUAUAUACUCUUCAUCAAUAUAAUAUUUUCAAUUAUAUAUUGAGUUAAAAAAAAUAAGUGUGCGUAUAUUUCUUUCGGAUCCAAUACACCCAAUAUCAUAUACAAUCAAUGUUGAUAUAUAAUUAGAUAUGAAAAAAAAUACAAGUAGCAUAUUUAAGUAUUAAAUUAUAAAAAAUAGUAAUACUUUUAUUAAAUUAUAUUUUGUAGCAUAUUUAUUUAUAUUUUUGUAGCAAUAAUUUGCAAAAAUACAAAAUAUAUAUCGAUUAUAAGGGCAGUAAAAAUCACAUAUAUUUGUAUUUUUGUAGCAACAGUUUGCAAAAAUAUAAAAUACAACUUGAUAUAUUAUGUAAUUAUGAAACUAUUGCUAUGAAACUCAAAAUUAAGGGGAUAAGUAUGCUAUUUCUGAAUUUUUCCCAUUAGAUAUUGUACAUAUACUAAUAAGAAGGACAUGAACUAGCCAUUUUAAAAAAAAAUGGCCCAUGGUUUAAAAAUGUGGACAAUUGCAGCUGGUCGGUCCAAUUUAAUUUUCUUUUUUAGUCAUUUGGCCCAAUUGGGCACAUGCAGUCUCUAUACUCAAUUGAUACACUUUUAUACCACAUUGAGAUACUUUUAUACUAUAUUGAUACACUUUUUUAAAAAGAGAAAGGAAAUUCUAUGCAAGCACCUGCAGUCCCUAUACCCAAUUGAUACUCUUUUAUACCACAUUAAUAUACUUUUAUACUAAAUUGAUACACUUGCAGUGUCCAUAUACUCAAAUUGAUACUCUCUUAUACUAGAUUGAUACAUUUUUAGAAUGCAUGUCGAAACUAUCUAGAGAGAGUCGUAUAAAAUAUGUAUCUAAAUAAUAACUGUAGUUAAAAAUUGUAUAGAAUGUGUAUAAAAAUGCUAUAAUUAAUGUAUAGAAUAUGUAUAUAUAUAGAAACUGUAUCAUUAUUAUAUAUAAAUAUAUAUCUUUAACAAUUGUAUUAUAUUAAAAGUAUAUGGUAUUGUAUUUUAUUGUAUAAAUAAGUAAAACUAAACAAAACAAAUAGUAUAUUAUUUUAAUAAUGUUGGUGAAUGCAAACUAAUAUAAAAAAAAUUGUUUAAAAAGAAUAAAAAAGAGUAGAAUAAGAAAAGGAGCCAAAAAAAGCAUCAACAAAAAUUUUAAAAAAAGAAAAGAAAAGAAAAAGGAAGGUAAGAACUUGACCUAGAAAAAUUAAACCAGUGAAUAUCUAAACAUUGUCCACCAAAAGAAGGUUAGAAAUUGGGGUAUCUAUUUCUAAACCAUUCGGUUGGAAUUACUUUCCACCGAGUGGUUAUUUAUCGGAUUUUAAAAUUUAGGUGUUAAUUUUAUGAAAUUAUUUUAGUUUUAGGUGUUAUUUUUGUCCUUUUUCUUCUUUUUUUUAAAGAAAAAUUAGCCCAACUAAAAUUUACAUAUAUACACUAAAUAAAAUUGCUUUAUUACAUAAUAUACCAAUUUGGUAAAGUAUUUACACAUAUCCCAAAAUAUUUACAUAAAUUCCUUUAUUUUCAACUUUCUCUUUCUUAAACAUUAUACAUCUCUCAACAGAUUUUCUCUUCCGUAUUUUACUCCUCCAUAUCCUCCCACAACACCCGAUUUUUACUCCAUAAUUGAACCCCCUUAUUCUCGGCAAAAUUGAAGAAUCGUGUAUCUAGGGGUUUCAACUAGUAAGUUAGAAGAUUUUUCUUUUCUUUUUUUAACUUUUUCAAUUUUUGAAGUUGAUCGUAUAUUGGGAUUGUUGCAUGUUUGUUUUACCUUACUUUGCAAGUAUUUUCAAGUUUCGUAGUUCGAUUUUUAUGUUUUCUUCAUAUAAUACUCUUGGUUUGUAGCUUUUUUUUUUUUUUUUUAAAUUUACCUAUUUUUGUAUUUUUCAAUUUAUUUUAUGAAUGUAUGUUUGUUUAUAAGGAUUUACCACAUUUUUGCAAGUAUUUUUAAGUUUUGUAGUUGAUUCGGAUCGAAUGUAUUACUGAAAAAAAUUGGUAAUAGAUUCUUGUCCUAACUUUAGUUUAGGACUUAGUCAGUUAGAUUCUAAAAAACAAGAUAUACCCGUUGGGUUUGUUCCUGGUACAUUUGAUUUAGAAGAACCCAAUUUCACAGAGAAUCGUUCAAAGCAUCGAAACGAUCCGACAACAAUGAAGAGAUUGAAGGAAACGACCACUUCCAUAUCAAAGAAAUCAAGUUCAAAAACGGCCAGUAAGAAGAAGUUUGAUGAUUCCCGUAGACCACGUCUUUCGAAGAUAUUGAUUAAACAUUGUACUUUACUUACGUUGCAACAUUAUUGUCUAAUAUAGUGGAACAUAGAAUUUUGUGCAACACUAAUGUAUAAUAUUACUAAUAUGUUAUACAUUUCAUUUUUUUUAUACAUUGAAUAUUCUUAUUACAUAUUAGAAGCAUUUGGAACUGGGUGUGUUAUUAUACAUUUAUGAAGUCUUCCUUUUGUAUAAGGUUUUAUUAUACAGUCUGACAACAUUGUAUGUCAUAUAUGUUUAAGGUGAAAUGUUUAGUCUGACAUUAUAUAUUGCAUAUAUUUGAUUACUAAUGUAUAAUUUUAUUACAUAAAUUUUAUUAUACAUUGCUUUUCAUACUAUAUUAUACAUAACAAGUAUUGUAUGGUUUAGUUGAUAUUAUACAUUUAGGGAGUUAUACAUUUCAUUUUUUUAUACAUUGGAUGUUCUUAUUACAUAUAAGAAGCAUUUGGAACUGAGUGUGUUAUUAUACAUUUAUGAAGUCUUCCUUUUGUAUAAUGUUUUAUCAUACAUUCUGACAUUUAGGGAGUUUUCAUACUGUAUAAAGUGACAUUAUACAUCUGAAUAGCUGAUAUGUCAUACAUUUUUGUAAGGUGAACUAGUUUAGUACGCAACAGUAUACAUUAUUGCAUCUCAAACAUUUGUAACUUUUUGUGUAAUUAUUGUAUUAUUUUAUUAUUUUAGGGCAUGAAAUACCGUAUAAAUAAAGUCCCGGAGCACCCUUUGCAUAUUUUGAGCUCAUGCAAUCGUGAUUUUGCUGAAGACAUAAAGUCUUAUUUUGGAGAUGAUAUUUUUAGGACAUUUAGAAAUACGUUAUUUGGGAUUUGCUUGACCUUCCGUAGUGCAAUUGGAUUAGGUAGAUUUCAAAAUGUAUCCUUAUGCUAGAAAUCCAAUAAUAUAUUAAGGACGAGAUACAUGUGUGUGUGCAGGGGAAGAUUUUAAAAUUUAUCAUGAAUUUGUCAUUAUCAGCGGCCUGACUGCACCGAUGAUAUUGAUGAGUUUAUGUAUACUUCAUCAUCAAAAUCCCCUUUGAUUUUAAAGUAUUUUUCUAAAUCUGGAGGUGAUAUAACUAGGUCAAAACUGAUAACACGUGUGAAGAUAGGAAAUUUCAAGAACUCUGAAUAUGCUUUGAACUUUGCGAUAUUAUAGUUUGUUCAUACAUUCAUGUUAUCUCAGCAUAAAGAAGCACCAAUUAGUGUAGCUCACUUUCAAAUGAACGAGGAUGGUCGGUACAUACACUUUUCAUGGGGAAAGAUAAUUUUUAAAAAGUUGAUCAACUCAUGGCGGCAAGAGUUUAGAGUCGUAAAGCAGUUAUAUUCUUUGGGUGGAAUGCCCCACGCUCUAAAUGGCUGGAUAUUUGAGUGUUGCUCUUCAGUUGAUAAAAAAAUUGCUUUGCGACAUGAAAACAUCAUCCCAAGAACACUUAACUGGUCUAUGGAGUGUACAAGGUCUAAGUAUAAAUCUUAAGUAAGGUAAUUAUAUAACAUAUUAAAUAUUUUUAUUUUAUACUCAACUUAUCGAAGUUUUAAUAUUUCAUUUUAAAAAUAAUUUUUGCAGUGUUCUUUCAAGAAUUUACAACCUACAAGUGAAGAAGUUCGUACUUUAGAUUUGUCUUUCUCUGAGGAUUUUGUGAUUUUUGAUCCAAUAUCUGCUGCUUCCACUUCUGUUGCUGCAACAAUGCAAACAUCAGGCGAUGAAGAUCAAUCGCGUGUUGUCACUGCAGAUGACGAUUAUGAUGAUUUCCCCACUGGACCUACUCAGGAAUUUCUAUAAAAGGCUCAUUUGGCUACACCUUUAUCAACUAAACAGCCAUCCAAAAGAAGUAAAACAGUUAUGUUUCAGGAAGUUAGUUCAGCUGUGACAAAUGCACAAAAAUCAACAAGUUCUCAUUCAGUACGUCACGUGUCUGGUAUGUUUUCUAAAAUACAAUAACAAUUAAUAGAUAAGCUACAAAUUCGUGUGUCUGAUUUUGAUCAUCGUCAUCAAGUAGAAAUUGGUGUGUCUCCUGAGUGCAAACAAAUCAAGUCUGUUCCUUCAUCUUCCACAACGCCUGAAGGAACUUCUAAGUCUAAUUUAGAUAUGGAGCAGAUAAAGAGUUACAUCAAAAUAUAUGUAAGUUAAUUUUCUCAUUCACAAAUUAUUAUUUUUGAAAAGUAUUACUUGUUUCUAAUAUCUUAUUGUUUAUCUGUACGUUAUAAGGUUGAUAAGCAAAUUGCUGAGCUGAAAACACUAAUCUCCAAUAUACCUGCUGAGGUCGUUAAAGCAUUGAAGAAAGAAGAGAAUAAAGAAUCUCCGGUAUAAAAUAAUUUUCCUUCAAAUUUUUAAUACUUUGAAUAAAUACUCAUACAUUAGAAUUAUUCAUGAUAUAUAGGAGGAGAAAAUUGUUCAUCAACGAGAAGGUGUACAGGGAGGCUAAAAAAUAAAUGACAGUAUUAAUAAGAAUGAGUUGCGGGCAAUUUUAAUCUACAUUACAUUGUCAUGUUACUAUUAAUCUGUAUAACUCCAACAUCUUAACCUUUUUUUGUUUGGUUCUUAUACAGCAUGAAGAUGAGUACACCAGACCAGUCAUUCACAUAACAAAUGAUGAACCAUCAGUAAUUGAAACUUUGGAAACAGAUCCAAGAUUGUGUCCACAUUCAUACUGAAUGUCCAACAAUAACUGAGGUUCAAUUCAAACAGAAAGUAUAUAUAUGAUAUGUAUAAAUAUGGUUAUACAUUCACAACCAUGCAUAAUAGUUAUCAAAUUAUAAAAAAAAUAUUUUCAUUCAUCAAUAUAUAAAUUGAAUUAAAUGUAUAGACAUCCUAUUGUCAAUUUUUUGUAGGAUGAGCACAUGAAUGAUAAAGAAGAGGGACAUGAAGAAGAAUCGCAAAACACUCACAGUAAUAAUAUGAAAGAUAUAUCGAUACAUUUUUGUCUCUCAUGUUGGUUUGUUCUUAGAUGAGAUGAAUCUCAAUAUUUUAAAACGCUUUACUUGUAGGCUGUUACAGUAUUAUUAUGCAUACAUUUGAAUGUAUAAUGAUAUGUUAUACAUUAUUAAUACUGAUAGUCUAUUUGAGAAAAUGAAUGUUCUUUAUGAAUAUCCUCAUACAUAUCUAUGUUACUUACAAUUAUUUAUGUAUGAACAUUGCUCAAUAACAACUCAAACAAAGUGUGAAUACAUUCAUACGCACUCCUUACAGACACCAUCUGCAAAUCAGUAUUAUAAUAUUUUUCCCUUUCCAACUAGUGGUUACUUUGAUUAAAUGUUCAUACCUUCUAAUUAUCACUUAAUUUAGGUUGACCUUAUCCCUGAUAAAGAGCAAGCUGGUCUUGAAGAUUUGGUGAAAGAACAUGGUCCUGUGAUGGUAUCUUUGUUGUUAUUUUUUCAAAACUCUUGCUGGUUUAAUUUACAUCGUAAUACUAUCUUAUUUUGAGACUAUUUUAGUUUCAUUAUACAUUCAUUUGAAUGUAUAACAUUAUGUUAUAAAUAAAAUCAGCACAUCACAAAUACAUAUGCAUUUGUUAUACAUUUCAAUUUCGAAUCAUCAGUAUAUAUUUUUUUAAUUAAACUACGUAUCACUUUGAAUAAGCUUUCAUACAUAAUAAUUGUUAAUGAAUGUAGGAUGAGCAUAAUGCUGCAGAAGAAGCAGGUUGUAUUGAAGAAUUGAAUAUACAACAUAGCCCUGAUAUGAAAUAUUUAGAGGUACUUUUUUGGUUGUUCAUAUUAUUUUUUAACUCAAAACUUACAUGCUUAUACAUUCACACCCAUGCCUAAUACAUAUCAAAUUAUAUAAAAAACUUUUCAUUCACAAUUUUAUGACUUUUCAAAUCACCAUUACAAUUUUUUUUCACUGAACUAUGUCUUACUUUGAAUAAAUGUUCCGACAUUCUACUUAACUCUUAAUUUAGGAUGAGCUUAUGCUCGAUAAAGAGGAAACUAGUGUCGAAGAUUUGGGAAAAGAGCACAGUCAUGUGAUGAUACAUUUCUUGUUAUUUUCUGUUUUACUCCUGCUGAUUUAACACUUCAAAUCUAAAUGCAUAGACUUACGACACAUUACUAUUAAAAAAGGAUCAUAAUAUUCCUAUAUGCAUAUCUAAAAUUUUCAAUUUUCAUUCUACAAUGAUUUAUUUUUGUUUUGUUACUUCGUAUUAUGUACUUCUAUUAUUGGUCUUUAUUAAUUAUAGCUCAUAAUGAAUAUUUAACAGUAUAUGAACUGAUUCUACCUAAGUAUAGUGGAUUAUGUAUAAUGUACAUUGCAAUACUAUCCUAAUUUGGGAAUGUUCCAGCUUCAUUAUACUUUCAUUUAAAUGUAUAACAGUAUGCUAUACAAUCAUACAGAGUAUUAUACAUUCAUAUUCAAUUUUUACAUAUACAGAUUUCAAAUCACCUUAACAUAUUUAUUUUCUUACAUAAUGAUUUUAUUUAAAAUAGUAUGAUCAUAUUGUCGCAAAAGAAUCACGUUGUGCUGAAGAAUUGAACAAACAUCAUAGUACUAAUGUGAAGGGUUUGUAAAUAUUUUUUUGAUAGUUCAUAUGUUGUUUUUUAACUCAAAAACUAUCUACAUAAAUGUAGCUUCUGUUUAGGUAUAAUUAACGUCAUACAUUAAUAUGUUUGCUUUUACACAUAACACAUCAAUAUUUUUUCUGUAGGAUGAUGUCAAUGCCACAAUAAUGGAGUCUGUUCAAGAUGCUUUAGAUGUACUAUUAUUUGAGUUGUCAAUACCAUCAAAUACAAAUAAAUUCAAUGUUGUUACACCAAAUAUAGUGACAAAAAAUGACCACUUUCAGAUAGUCAGUUUCCACCUGAUUUUUCGGAUGCUCAAGUAAGGGAGCUUAAAGCACCAAAACACGUGAAGUCAAAAAAUCACCUGUAAAAAGAGAUCGAAAAAAGUCGAAGAUUUUUAGGUCACCAUACAUCAUAAAAUUUGGAUCGAGCUCUAAAGAUAAGGGCAGUUCUGCUAAUGAAGAGAAGCAAAUGUAUGCUUUUGAUAGUUGUACCAUUUACGAAGAUUUGUCUAAUCAAUUGAUUAGUGAUUAUUCAUAGUGACUUGAAAUUGGGUUACUCAAAUAUCAUGUUUCCAAGUAAGUUAUUUAGAUAGAUUUCUAAAUUAUUAAAAAUAGUACAGAAGAAUAAAUCUUGGAGAAGUCUAAUCCUUGAUUAUGUUACAGGAAACAAACAGACAAUCACUAUCUAAAAAAUGCUCCAGGAUUAGGUUAUUCUUUAUUGGACUUUGUUGUUGCACAAGCACUCUCAAAGAAUUGGUUCUACUUGAUUUCGCAACACGUGUUGGAAUGAUGAGGUAAAUUAAACUAAACUAUAUCAUGCUUCUUUAAACUUUUACUAAAAAUGUACUCAUUAUUACGAAAUAAAUAGAAUCUAAUAUAUGAUUACAUAUCAUACAUGUGGUCUCAUGUAUAACCACAUUUUAAACAUGUCAUGGUAACAGAUCAUACAUUCAUUAUCUUUGUUGAAAACAUAAUAAUAACUAUAACAUAUGACUUUGUUUUAUGAUUACAUAUUAUACAUGUGGUAUGAUAUAUAAUCACAUUUUAUACAUGUUAUGUUAACAGAUCAUAUACUCAUGUUCAUGACCAAUACAUAAUAAUAACUAAAAUAUAUGCCUUAGAAUCAGUUGUAUGGUUAAAUAUCAUACAUGUUGUGUGAUUUAUAAUCACAUCAUAUAAAUGUAAUGAUACUAGAUCACUAAUUCAAGUUCUUAAGCAAUACAUACUAAUAACUAAACAUAUGCAUUUUUAUUUCAGUGUUUAACAUAAUCUUACCCUUUUUAACAUGUAGCACUUAGAUGUGAUAUUCUACCAUUUGACAAAAAAAUCAAAGUUGCAACAGUGUGAUACAUAUAGAUAUACGAAAAUCAGCUGCUUCUUCAAAACAUAUAUUGAAAAGACAUACGAACGAUAUUUUCCAACAGUUAAAGCAGAGCAGAUAUCCACGCAAGAAAACUACGUAAAAUUCGUUGCUUGUUCUUCAAAUGAAAUUGAUAUAACAAAUAUAAUUAAUGGAUUCUGUAAUCCUGCGAAUUUACCAUGGCAUUUGGUUGAUGAGGUAUAUGUUCCUGUUAACUGUGAAAAAGAAUAUCACUGGGUAUUGACUGUAAUUGUGUUAAAGAAAAGAACGGUACGUGUGUAUGAUUCAUCGUCAAGCAAAAGAAAAAAUGAACCACCAAUCGAAAUACGAAAUUAGCAGCCAUGCUGCGUACUUACUUGUCGGACAGUGAUGUUUUUCAAAAGACUGAAAGAAUUGACUGGUCAACACUUAAAGCGUACGAAGGGAAGCUUGGUCUGCAAACUGGAGAGAUAAGUCACAACCCAUUUGAUAUUGAAUACGCCAAAAACAUUCCACAACAAGCGUCUGAUAGUUUGUAAGUGUCUUUUACUUUUUAAAUUUUAACAUAUAUAAUCAUGGUAAAUUAGUUAAAGGAAUGGUUCUUUCAUUUUUUUAAAAUAUCAGGGACUGCGGGGUCUUCGUGGCUGCAUAUGCAGAAAUAUUGAGUGAAGGGCAGCAAGUCCAUUCAUGUGAGUUUGAAGGUUGCAAGUCAACGUGCAUGAUAUGCUUCGUUACUAUGGCAUUACGGAGUGAUGAAGACAAAGAAAGGUUAUACGAGUGAUAUUGACGAUCCUCCUCGGCCAAAAAAUACUUUUGUCCAAUCACCUGAUGAAAGUGCAAUUGUUACUUUGGAGUAGCUCCUUCUAAAAAUAUUCUAAUUGCUUUUUUAGUUGUUUCUGCUAAAUAGUUAUACACAGUAAUAUUUUUUUGAAUGUUGAUUUUUACGCAACAUUAUAUGGGUGGCAGUUUUUGUUCUACUACAUUUACAUUUACAUAAACUCUAUUGUGCUUAUUCUAUAUUGUUUGUUAAUUAGUCACUUUGCCAAACAUAAUAUUACCAACACUGUAUAACAACAAUUUAUAUAUUAAUGAAUUAUAUAUAGGUAAAACAUUGUGUUUUUUUCCAGCAUUAAAGAAGUUAAUAUUAUAUUAUGAGUUAAUUAUACAUUGAACAAGUAUCAAUUUAUUUUUGAUAAAUUUAUUAUAUAACAUCAUACACGUUGACACUCUUUCAUUGCUGAAUUGAAAACAGCUAUGGCAUUCAAAAAAAUUUAAGAAGAAUAACAGCAGAUCGUAAAUUCUAAACAAACAAAAUGUAUUAGUCAUUUGACGUAAUACUGAUAAGAAAAUAAGAAAAAGUUUUAAUACCAUACAUACAUCUUAAUGUAUAAUCUAUACUCUUAACACAAAAUUCUUUGCUUUAUAUUUUGCUAGUUCUUAUGUUUUUUAAAAUCAUUUACUUUAAUAUCAUACAUGUUGUUAAUGUAUAAUAGUAUAGAAUACAUAAUAUAUAUAAGACAGGUUAAUGUUAAAUAUAUUAUACAUUAUAACUACAUAUUACUACGUUACAAUAAUGAGCAGUAAAGUCACAAAAUAUAAUAAUUCAAAACUGUAUUAUUUGGUUGCGAAAAUAUCAAACAUUAAGUAAUAAUUAAACAUCACAUAACAGUUAAAAACAUAAAAUAAACUUUAACAAGUAUCAACAAAAUAAAAAAAAAUGAUGUUCUGUAGUUAUAACCAAACGAACAAUUAGCAUUUAGAACAACAAAAUAAAAUCUGUAACUUUUUUUGGGGAAGAAACCUCACGUCCUAUGGUUGUGGCCUGCACGCCUGCAUUUACUGUAAUGAUUUGAACUUAUAAGUGAUUCACUAGAUUUCAAAUGCCUUCCUUUCUUUGGCCUCCUAGGAGGUCUUUUGUAUUUGGGUGGCAAAACUUCGUCGGCAUCAACAAAAUGUGAAACAAUCCAAUCUUUCAUCUCUGGCAUAGGAACUAUGGGGAGUUCAUAUGUCUUGACAAUGGUGUUUGGCCUGUACAAUUCUGAACAGUAACGUCCAUACUCUUUUAAAUCAAUAUUUAUACUCUUCAAAAUGCUAUUGCGUGUGCACAUGAAAUUUCAUCAAUUUGAUACCGACAACAGUUACACGUGUCAUGAUCAAUAUCAAUAAUGUACCUCCUUCCUGAUUCAUACACACAGUACAGAUAACUACCAGCAGCCUUAACCUGUUAACAAUGAUUAAUUUUAUACAGUAAAAAAUAUAUAAAUUAAUAACAAAUAUAAAGUAGAUUCAACUAUCAUAAUACAUACCAUCAUCCGUAAUGACUUAACUCCAUUAUCAGUUAGAAUUUCUUGAAAUCUUCUCCCAAACGUUGUGUUUGUAUAAGAUGCAAUUUCACUGUUCUUACAAUUCCAUGCAGCGAAUAGAAUCUUAACUUCUUCAAGGAAAUCUAAAAUAGGAAGUACUCUAGCCUCUACCAAACAACAGUUAAUACAUUCAACUAUAUUAGAGGUCAUCAUUCUACCUUUAUUAAUAGGAGAGUGACAUCGAGAUCAUUUAUCAUAUCCAGCUUUUUCCAGAUAUUCCUUAACCCUUGGAUCAACCUUUUCAACCUUUGACACAAUGUAAUCAAAAUUUUCUUUUCUAUACGCUUUAGCCAUGGAAUAAUAAAGGUCACUAAGUCUAUCUUUGCUUUUUCUAAAAUAUUUAUAAAUAUUUUUUCAUAAAUGUCAAAUACAUGCAAGAUGGGGGACAUUAGGAUAAACAAUGCUCUCGCCCUUUAUGAUACACUCAUUUCGAUCCGAUACAACACACAUAUUGUCCCGUUUUCCAAAUGCUUCUUUAAAUUGAUGAAAAAAUUAAGUCCACGCAUUGUCAUUUUUUGAAUUCACAACACCAUAAGCUAAUGGAAGAAUACAUCCUAAACAAAAACAAACAAACAAAUUUAUAUGUAUAGUUCUAUAAUAUGUGUACACCACUGAACAGGUUUCUAAUUAUUUUACAUUUAAGUAAUACAUGACAUCAUACAUGUUGUCCCACCUUUAUCACUUAAUUGAAAACAAGUACAAAUAUAUAACAUCACACAUUUUAAUAACGUAUAACAAUACAUCAUACAUUGUAAAAAUACUGCUAGGAAAUUAUACAUUUAAUUAUUAGUAAAUGUAUGAGACAUUAAACGUAAAAUUGACAAGAAAAUAUUGAUAUUUUACAACAUCAUACAUACACCAUAACGUAUAAUCGCUAAUCAUACACAUAUCACACAAAUCAAAAUCUACUUAAGUUUUACUUAUUCUGUUUUAAAAUGAAAAUGCAAUUUAUAGAGUUGUUUAAACAGAAAGUAGCAUCUACUUUAUAAAAAAAAUUAAUAACACAAAAUAAAAGGCAUAAAAUCAGCUACUUGGUGAAGUACUAUAUGUACUCACUAAGCAAGUCCAAAUUUUAUUAUACAUACAUGGGCAACAUACAAUCAGCUAUAAUUCAUGCACAAUGCUGAAAUAUCAAAGAUGAAAAUUUUAAAGUAUGAUACCUGCACCAUCAAGAGUGCUCGCUGAUACAAACGUUCCUUGAUAUGGCCCGAUUAAAUGAGCACCAUCUACAACUACUAUUGGAUGGCAAAAUUUGAACCUCCUAAUCAUUGGAUGUAAGGCAAUAAAUAAGUAUUUAAACUCGUUAUCUAAUGUCUUAUCCAUCCGAAUGUAUGAUCCAGGAUAUACCUGGUUCAACAUAUAUAUAUAACGGGGCAUUUUUCGAUAUCCAUCAGCUGGUCCACCUCUAAGAAUCGCAAUUGCCUUUUCCUUUGCCCGUCAAGCCAUCAUGUAGUUAAUAUCAACACCAUAGACGACCUUCAUCUCUUCAAUUAUGUCUGUCGGUGUAUGUAUUCUCUUGUAAUUAAUUAACUUUGGUGCAGUAAAUUCACUGACAAAGGCUGUUGUUGCAACCAAAUUAUUCAGUAUUCUAUCACUCAGACUGCAAUUAUGUUUCGAAUCAAAUAUCUUUAUCGCAAAAAUUUCCGAAUGAUUCAUCGAAUAUGCCUUUAGAACACAUUUGCAAUCUUUGACACGGCAGUGUAACACAUAGCUGCAGUUACAUUUUAAAACAUGUUGUCAAUUUAUUAACGUACAUAUAAAUUCAAUAAUUUAAGUCAAAAUACCAUAAUUAAAUUGUUAUAGUUUUAUUAUACAUUCGAAUGAAUGUAUAAUGGCAUAUUAUACAUUGUAAAUAAAACUCCAUUUUGUGCAAACAGCAAAACCAGAAAUUGAAGUCAACAAUGAAACUCCAUUACCAAAGGCUAUUACAACACAACAACAUCCUUCACAACAUCUACAAAUAAAAAAUGAUAAUUUAUUUCAUACCUUUGUUUGUCAGAUCAUUUAGUAAAGGUGUUGAAGCCAUUCGAUAUCGCAUAUUUCGCCAUAACCGAUACCAAAGUUUGCUUAUCCUUAUAACGCUGGUUAACUUUUAUUUCAGUGUUCUUCAAAUUCCAGAACGUAUAAUGAAUAUUGAUUCUGAGUUUCAACAACAGUUAAAGCAACUGAAUCAGAUUCACUACCUUCAAUACACAUUACAACCCCAGUUUUACUAUCAAACUCGAUAUCCUUAAUCGAUUUAUUGAAAGUUUGUAUACAUAGCGAAAAAUUUAUAAUUCCAGAACCUUGUUUCUUCAACUCAAUAUAAACCUUCACUCCAUUAUCAUUUCUUAUGAUAAUUGGAGAAGAAUUACCAUCAACGAUGUAUUUUACUUCAAUUUUUUUCGUACAUCGUCAAUACCCAAUUCCAUCAUGAUUUUCGCAAUCAAUUUCAAAAAGUUAAUACUUUCUGAAAUAACAAUGGCAUCACUUUUGUAUGCUUUAAAACUUAUUUCUGCCUCCCAUACACCAGAAUGACGCAAACAUAUUGGGAUGUUCAUCUUUUUUCUCACAAGAAAUCACGAACAAAAUUUUUUUUCUUCCGAAUCGUAAAUCAAAAAAGAAGUCAAUUAGAGGUAAAGUUUAAGAGUUUUUUUUUUAAAUUCAAAUAUCAGUUACUAUUUUAACUCAUACAAUAAUUAACAUCAGGUAAUUAAAUAGCGUAAUUUAAGAAGUAGGGAUACAUUUACUAAUUCUCAAUCUCAUAAUUUUAGGUUAAUCAGAUUUAUGAUACAUUCAACGAACGUAUAACUACCAUCCGAAUGUAUGACAAUAUUUUACAAAAUAAGGAGAGAGAAAAUUUCAAGGGAGAUUAUGUAAAUAGUUUUACUUUAUGCGAUAUAUAUAUAUAUAUAUAUAUAUCUAUCUAUAUAUAUAUAUAUAUAUAUAUAUAUAUAUAUGUGGUUUAUACCGUCUAGAAAUGGUGGUGCAAAUAUACUCUUCGAUAUAGUCAAAUGUUUAGACUUAAAUGACGUAUUCAAUGACUCUUUUAGUGUACUAUCAAGUUUAAAUAAGAGGCCAGGACAAUCUCGUCAAUUUUCUUUAAAACUCGAGAAAAGUCUUCCAGAAAAUGACCUAACAAUACAACAAAAAAAAUUCUUCUUUCCUUGCUCUAAUAGAGUUUACAUUAUAUAUACAUUGAUGGCAUAAAAUAUUCAUAUAUUAUCAAUUCAUCUUUAAAAUGUUUAUAAUUAUUUAACUGCAUUUAUUUUUAUUACGUCUAAAAUGAUGAAAAUUUUAAUGAUGUUUUCCAUAGAAUCAGUCAGAAAAUGUCCGACGAGCCAAACUUCAACGAAUUUUCGAUCGGACACUAAAAAAGAUUUUCAUAUGACAAUUUUGUUCCACAAUAGGAUGUUUCUUGGGCACCGGCCGAUAUUUGUUACAUAUAACAACUUAAUUAUCUGCACACUGAUCUUUUAUGGUUAUUUACAAAUUGUAUAAAGGAAAAUUAUCUGUUCGAAUUUCGUAUAUGUAAAAAUAAAGAUCUUUUGUAUAAAGAACUUACGACGAAAGAUAAGAUUAUAAAAGAGUGCAAAACCAAAUCUUUCUUAUAAUUUAUUGCUAAUCUUUGUCAAGAUUAACAAUUAUGAAUUAGCGAAGAAUCUUGUUAUUUAGCUAAUAAUUAAUCCGUCCAUCGUUGUUUUCUAGCACUGAUAUUCGAGUUUUAAUAUCGUCCAAUUUGUAAUUAUUCCCCCCGUCUUCUCUAUCGAUCGAUGAGAUGGCUGCAACUGAACAAUUGACACCAUUAAAAUUCAAUGAGACACCAAUACAUCUCAUAGGCUAAGUCCCUUUUAUGCUCCGAAGGACGAUCACUUUGUCUAUGACUACCUUUCUAUACUUCAAACCGUAUGCUAAUUGCUUCCUAUUACAUGGUAUGAGACUUGUAAGAGUGACUCCUGCACCUAACUCAACCAAAAGCUAGAUCAUGGGGGAGGGGAUUGUCCAAUUACAUAUAAGUAAAUCGUCAGUCCAUUCUCCAAUUUAUAAUGUGAAACUUUCACCACUCUUAACAAGAUUGAUUUAAUGCAAGUUAUGAUUUAUUUACAAAUUUGUUCAGGAAAUUCCUACAUAUUAGAACUUAUUCCAGAAAUAUUCCACAACAACAAUAAUAACAUAUAUACUCAGUAAAUUUUCAUAAGUGGGGUUUAGAAAGUACAGUGUAAGUUGAUCUUACUACUAUCUCAUGGAGGUAGAGAGAUUCUUUCUAAAGAACCCUUGGCUAAGUGUACCAACUCCAAGUUAAAAAAAAAAAAAAAGAAACAAACAGUAAAAAAUUUUAUGGAUUAAUAAGUAAAGCAACGCAAAGCCUACAAAAAAGGAAGAAUAACAACAAGAAGCUAGAUAAUAAGAAAAAAUAUUUAAUUAGGUAAAGACCAUAGAAUAGUUACUUUAAAAUAAGAGGAAAAUUGAACUUUAUAGAAACAUUUUUUGUUCAACACAAUAUCAUAUGUAUUGAGUAUCAUACAGAACAUUACAUGACCAUGACCAACCAUCCAUUGGAACACUAUUGAAUGGCUUUAUUCAUACAAGUAAAAGUUCUAAAGUAGCAAGAUUUUUAUGGUCUUUGCCACUUACAUAACAAAGCAUUACAUUAAUAAUACAUAAUGAAGCACUAAUUAAUUAGUUCUGAGGUUUAGAUCCAGUGUCUUUUUCCAUGGCCUUAUAUUCUUCAUAGGUGCAGCAAUGUCCAUGGCAUUUAUAAUGACAUUUUUUAGGUUUAUAUCCACCAUCAACUUCUACUUCCUGCUGUGAUUCAGUGGCUUUUUCCAUGGCCAUAUAUUCUUCAUAGGUGCAGCAAUGGCCAUGGCAUUUAUAAUGACAUUUUUUCUUAGGUUUAUAUCCACCAUCAACUUCUACUUCCUGCUGUGAUUCAGUGGCUUUUCCCAUGGCCAUAUAUUCUUCAUAGGUGCAGCAAUGGCCAUGGCAUUUAUAAUGACAUUUUUUCUUAGGUUUAUAUCCACCAUCAACUUCUACUUCCUCGUGUGAUUCACUGGCUUUUCCCAUGGCCAUAUAUUCUUCAUAGGUGCAGCAAUGUCCAUGGCAUUUAUAAUGACAUUUUUUCUUAGGUUUAUAUCCACCAUCAACUUCUACUUCCUCGUGUGAUUCACUGGCUUUUCCCAUGGCCAUAUAUUCUUCAUAGGUGCAGCAAUGGCCAUGGCAUUUAUAAUGACAUUUUUUUUUAGGUUUAUAUCCACCAUCAACUUCUACUUCCUGCUGUGAUUCAGUGGCUUUUUCCAUGGCCAUAUAUUCUUCAUAAGUGCAGCAAUGUCCAUGGCAUUUAUAAUGACAUCCUUUGUGUCCUCCACCUUUAUUAUAAUGGUCACCUCCAACACCAUCAACGUCUACUUCCUUCGCUGCUGCAUCGAUGAAUUGAGAAUAUUAAAACUUAUGCAUAUGCAUGUACUCACGACUGAUCUUUGAAUUGAAAUUUCAAUUUAUGUGUAGUACUUUUCAUUUCAUUUCGUUAUAGUUUAAGAUAAUUCCUCUUACUAUUAUAUAUAUUUAAAUAAAUUCUUAGUUUCAAUAUAAUAUGUUUAAAUAUUUUGAAUUGAAAUUUCAAUUUAUGUGUCGUACUUUUUAUUUUAUUUUGUUAUAGUUAAGAUAAUUCCUCUUACUAUGAUACAUAUUUAAAUAAAUUUUUAGUUUCAAUAUGAUAUGUUUAAAUCUACAAGAUUCAAAGGAUAUUUUAGUAUGUUCUAAACACAAUUUAGUUUUGUUUAGCAAGGAUUGAGAAGUUUAUGCUAUAUUCUUUAAAUUCAGGCAUAGUAACUGAGAAGCAUAAGGAAUAUAUAUUAAGUGUCAUGAUCAAGCUAGUGUUAGUAAAACAUUAGGUUAUCAUCUCACAUUUAUAAAAACUUACAAAUUUUAGUUUGUGGUCUAAUCUCAGAAACAACUUCUCUAUCUUGCAAAGAUUGGAGUAACAUCAACUUACAUAUUCUAUAUAUCUUCCGUAGUCUCUACUUAUGAGAUUACACUGAAGAUAUAGUGUGUGAUUUAAUUUUAAAUUUUCAUAAAAUUUUCAGAAUGCUCACAUUGAAUAUAAUUUUAAACAGUGGUUUAAAAGUUCUAUUAAGUAGCAUAAACAAUAAAAAGAUGACCAUUUACUAAAAGGAAAAGCCGAUUAAAAUAAGAUAUUAUCUUCAAUUAAAUGCUAGGAGUAGAACCUGUUAAAAUACUAAUAGCAUUUCACAUGCUGGACAUAUAUUUACUAUGUCACUAAAUUAAGAGCGAUAAAAAACGUGUAAAGUAAUGGAUAAAGAUAUGUUAAUAUGGCUAACGUAGUAACAUCAAUAGGUUUUUUUUUUUUUUUUUUUUUUUCCGAAUGAAUUCAAUUACGUAAAAAGAUAAUGAAAGAUAAUACUUAC
Molecule: long non-coding RNA, 36402 nt
Filed under: Capsicum annuum
Lineage: Eukaryota; Viridiplantae; Streptophyta; Magnoliopsida; Solanales; Solanaceae
Description: long non-coding RNA (CANN_LNC005762)
Source: RNAcentral